AGCUCAGUUGGAUAGAGCACGAGCCUCCUAAGCCCGGGGUCGCACGUUCGAGUCGUGUC
Molecule: transfer RNA, 59 nt
Filed under: Candidatus Hungatella pullicola
Lineage: Bacteria; Bacillati; Bacillota; Clostridia; Lachnospirales; Lachnospiraceae
Description: tRNA-Arg
Rfam family: tRNA
About the family: Transfer RNA (tRNA) molecules are approximately 80 nucleotides in length. Their secondary structure includes four short double-helical elements and three loops (D, anti-codon, and T loops). Further hydrogen bonds mediate the characteristic L-shaped molecular structure. tRNAs have two regions of fundamental functional importance: the anti-codon, which is responsible for specific mRNA codon recognition, and the 3' end, to which the tRNAs corresponding amino acid is attached (by aminoacyl-tRNA synthetases). tRNAs cope with the degeneracy of the genetic code in two manners: having more than one tRNA (with a specific anti-codon) for a particular amino acid; and 'wobble' base-pairing, i.e. permitting non-standard base-pairing at the 3rd anti-codon position.
Source: RNAcentral